CUACAACAAGUUCGAGCCCGUUAAUGGGUGAGAGCGUGCCUUUUGUAGAAUGAACCGGCGAGUUACGAUCUGAUGCAAGGUUAAGCAGAAAAUGUGGAGCCGUAGCGAAAGCGAGUCUGAAUAGGGCGUUGAGUAUUUGGUCGUAGACCCGAAACCAGGUGAUCUACCCAUGGUCAGGUUGAAGUUCAGGUAACACUGAAUGGAGGACCGAACCGACUUACGUUGAAAAGUGAGCGGAUGAACUGUGGGUAGCGGAGAAAU
This 261-nucleotide ribosomal RNA is filed under the name Kryptoperidinium foliaceum. RNAcentral describes it as "partial Bacterial large subunit ribosomal RNA". It matches the Rfam family "Bacterial large subunit ribosomal RNA", at positions 564 to 827 of the family's 2925-position model. Lineage: Eukaryota; Dinophyceae; Peridiniales; Kryptoperidiniaceae. The record is from RNAcentral.